Long non-coding RNA from Mus musculus (house mouse), 1329 nucleotides. RefSeq annotates it as RIKEN cDNA 4930597O21 gene. The transcript has 3 exons. The record is from RefSeq and is a predicted model, not a curated record. Lineage: Eukaryota; Metazoa; Chordata; Mammalia; Rodentia; Muridae.
AUGCACCAGGCAAAGUGUACUCCACAAGGACCACCGACACAGUCCAGCAAGAAAUCAAUGCACACAAGGCUCAAGUUUGAACUCCGACCUUCCUGUUCCAGUCACCGCCGCAGGGUCCCUCGUGAAGUGUCACCCGAAUUCUCUCCACGAUCAGCUCCUUACCCGCCGCCACCCCCCUGUGAAGACCCAGUACCGAGGCUGCCAACCCACGCGCGUCUAGAGAUCGGAGGAGGGGCGUGCGUGGCGGCUCCGACCGGCUCCUCCCGCACCACCGCGACCUGGCGGCUUUUCCCGGGCCUUCCUCCGGCGGGGCGAGGCCGAGCGAGGCAGCUACGGAGACCCAGCCUCAGGGGCCACUCGCGCCCCAGCGGGCUCUCGCGUCUGUGGGCCCCGGCUGGCCUCGCUCCCACUCCCCUUCCGCGGCCCAGAGCGCCCGCAGCACGCGCUUCCUUCCUCCGCUCCCUAGCUCCAGCCCGCUGCCAGCCCGCGGGACCCACAGGCGGCCCCGAAGUAGCGGCGACCGCCCCGCCCCGUCCGGUCCCGGCGCUACCUUGGCACUCACUCUUCGCCGUCGUCGCCGCCGCCGCCGCUGCUGCCGCCGCCUGGGAGUCCGGCUCUCCGCGCUCCCGGGACCGCCCGACCUCUCCUCCCUACUCCGCUCCAGCUCCUCCCCUCGCGCGUGGGCGGGGCGCACGGCCCGGUGGGCGGGGCUGUCGCCGCCACCCCCUCCGCUCUGGCCCACGGGCAUGGGACGUGGUCGCCGCGCCCAACUGCGGCCGUCGGGGGUCAGGACACGCGUGCCCGCGGCUGGGUUGGUGCAGCUCGCUGCGGUGCGGUGGGCCCGGGCAACCACGCGAGGCCACCACCAUACAUCACCACCAGGACCACACACCGCAGUCCCCAGGCUGCGAAGAUGAGCUCUGCCAAACCCCACACAAAAGUGGGGCUCUGAUCCAGAAAGGUCUGAGGAAACGGCCACCGUCAUAUUUAAAGGACUCUGGGGCAACAGGGAGGUUGUUUCCCAGAAAUGGAGCUUUAUGAACACUGAUUCCACGGAUACUUCUUGCCUGCCAGCACCUGCAUCUUAUGGCAGAACUACCACAUUCAGCUUGAGAGUGUUCUAUCCCUGGGCACAGGGCAGCUGGAAGAACCUGGCAACUACUGUACUUCUUACAUCGGUUCUUUAAGCAGUGACAAGAGUGGAGGUAAAAAACGCUCCAUCUGUUUUGACACCAAUUGGAAUAACUGGAGGCUGCGUCUAAGAUGUCAGCAACACUCCCUGCAGUGGUUGGAUAAGCAUCUCUCCUUGUCUCCAGCUCUUUGCUUAGU